This 200-nucleotide long non-coding RNA is filed under the name Lathyrus oleraceus (garden pea). Its description in RNAcentral is "Pisum sativum (pea) long non-coding RNA (PSAT_LNC041853)". The record is from RNAcentral. Lineage: Eukaryota; Viridiplantae; Streptophyta; Magnoliopsida; Fabales; Fabaceae.
AAGGUGAGUCAGUACAGGUAAUCGGAAUGAACCUCCAGGGGUUAUCCCACAAAUAAAGUGGGAAACCACGCAAGUUAUCCCUGCAAAAGUCAUGUGCCUUCACAAAAACUCAACAAAGGGGUUAGUGAAACAAGAUAGGGUAACCAAGAGUUGCCCCCAAAUCAAAAUGUAACCACAUGAAUCAUGCUCUUUCAAUUCAC